AGGUCAUUCCAAUCAGUCAUCUCCAAGCCAUUACCAAAGCAAGUCAAGAGAAAAAACUUCCCCUGGAUGGAAUUAUGAAGGUGACGGGAAUAGUGCCAAGGAAUCAGUCCCUAGGCAUUCAAGGAGCAAAUUGAGAGACAAGACUUCCCAAGGAUCCCGAUGGCCUAGUCCAAUCAAGAGAAGUGAUUCCAAGCACUCACCUAGGAAGCGUGACCGGAGCAAUUCAAGAGACAGA
This is a long non-coding RNA of Populus euphratica (Euphrates poplar), 235 nucleotides long. RefSeq lists it as uncharacterized. The record is from RefSeq and is a predicted model, not a curated record. NCBI's taxonomy places the organism in Eukaryota, Viridiplantae, Streptophyta, Magnoliopsida, Malpighiales, Salicaceae. The transcript has 3 exons.